Molecule: long non-coding RNA, 260 nt
Filed under: Apteryx owenii (little spotted kiwi)
Lineage: Eukaryota; Metazoa; Chordata; Aves; Apterygiformes; Apterygidae
Description: lncRNA (ENSAOWG00000018256.1)
Source: RNAcentral
GAUUAAGCUAGCAAUUAUUUAAAAUGAUAUGACACCUAAUAUUCUUUUGGUUCUUUUUCUUGGUCUUUGGUGUUGAAUUUAAUCUUAUUGAAGAGGAUGAUUUCAGGAUACAUAUCACCUCAUGACUGGGCACCAUUUGUUGAAACUGUCCAGUCAGCAAAUUCGUACCAGCCAUCAAGCGAGUGAACGUGUUGGAGACUUGUAACACAAAUACAAAGAUUGGUAUGGAUGCGUGUGGGGAAACACCAGAAGGAAGAGCA